This 253-nucleotide ribosomal RNA is filed under the name uncultured bacterium. RNAcentral's name for it is "partial 16S ribosomal RNA". It matches the Rfam family "Bacterial small subunit ribosomal RNA", at positions 524 to 776 of the family's 1533-position model. The record is from RNAcentral.
UACGGAGGGGGCGAGCGUUGUUCGGAAUCAUUGGGCGUAAAGGGCGCGUAGGUGGUUCUGUAUGUCUACCGUGAAAGCGUACGGCUCAACCGUAUUUUGUCGGUAGAAACUGCAGGACUUGAGGCUGGGAGGGGCUGGUGGAAUUCCCUGUGUAGCGGUGAAAUGCGUAGAGAUGGGGGAGAACACUCGUGGCGAAGGCGGCCAGCUAGACCAGUUCUGACACUGAGGCGCGACAGCGUGGGGAGCAAACAGG